RNAcentral lists this small nuclear RNA (111 nucleotides) under Sorex araneus (European shrew). The record is from RNAcentral. Lineage: Eukaryota; Metazoa; Chordata; Mammalia; Eulipotyphla; Soricidae.
CUGCUGAGGCAGCUGAGGUAGCACAUAUACUACAAUUCUAACAGUACAAAGAAGACAAGAACGGUCCUUUACAAGGAUGAAACGCUAAUUCAUAAAGCAUUCCACAUUUGA